Long non-coding RNA from Manihot esculenta (cassava), 1189 nucleotides. RefSeq lists it as uncharacterized. NCBI's taxonomy places the organism in Eukaryota, Viridiplantae, Streptophyta, Magnoliopsida, Malpighiales, Euphorbiaceae. The transcript is spliced from 3 exons. The record is from RefSeq and is a predicted model, not a curated record.
CUUACAAAUUCAGUUGGUUGUUUCUGUAUAGACUUUCAGUGCCAGCAUAUUUUGCAGAAUAUCUAUCUUCCAUCUGAUUUUGAACUGAGCCUUUAAAUUUUCAGGACAUCGUGGAAUGGGAAACAGGAUGUUCUAAUGACAGAAGGAAGCUAAGAAGUUAUUGAUGAAGUGAGAUUUGAUUGUUCGUUAACAGUUACUGAUGAAGAAGCACUUCUAGGUUGAAUAUUCACGAGUAGGGUCCUCUUACAAUGGUGAUGUAAAGGAGGAAUCUCAAUUUUCAGAUGGUGAUUAUAAUGAAGAAGAUGAUGAGAUGUUAAUAGUGAUGAUAGCAAUGAUGAAGGAAUGAUAAGGUAGCAAAAGAAUUUGGAGUGAAAAGUUAUCGGUCGCUUGUUUAUAUGGAUAAAAGGCAAAAGAGGAAGAGAAAAGGCAAAAGGAAAUGAUCAAAGGAGACCCUGCAAUUGUAAGUUUGGCAACAGUAUCUUUUCCAUUUCCCCCAUGUUGAUAGUAUAAGGAUUACAUUUGCCAUGUAAAUGUUCAGAGGAAGCUGAGUCACAAGGAAAGAAGGAGAGCUUCUCAGAUAAAAAAGGAAAGAGAGAGAGAGAGAGAGAAGCUUCUCGGAUAACAGGAACUCGAAGGGUCCAUUGUGAUUCUUGUUGUAGCAGUGUGAUUUUUCUAGAAGACUUGAAGAUCACAUUUUGUUUUUUGUACUCUUAAAAUCUGCUGUCAAUAUUUUGUUAGGUAGAAUUGUAUAUCUCUCCUUGAUUUAAGUAGAUUUGAUUAAAAAGAAAAGCUUACUUGUAGCAGUAGAUUUUGGCCAUACUGUUAGUACUCCUUUUGUUGCAAUAUAAGCAGCCUACCUUAGUGAAAAAUAUGCAUCUUCCUUUUUUUUAUAUGUUGUGAUCUAGAGAGCCUCUAUAUUUGUGAGUUUGUUGUGAGAGUAAUAUUCUAACAAAUGGUAUCAGAGCUUCAAUCUUAAGGGGCCUGUGCCUAUCCUUGUGAGCAUAUCUUUGUGAGCUUUUUAAGAGAGAUUUGAGAGUUAUUUCACCAGAAAUUUGUGAGUUCAUCAACCAUAUGUCUUUUAGCAACGUUUCAUUUCCUGUUCCACCUAUUUUUUCAAGUGAGAACUUUGAUUUUUGGGCUGUAAAACUGACAACAUUUUUUGGAGCUCAUGACUUGUGGGAUGUGGUAG